Molecule: ribosomal RNA, 109 nt
Filed under: Citrobacter freundii
Lineage: Bacteria; Pseudomonadati; Pseudomonadota; Gammaproteobacteria; Enterobacterales; Enterobacteriaceae
Also listed under: 12 other names
Source: RNAcentral
GCUGUAGCGCGGUGGUCCCACCUGACCCCAUGCCGAACUCAGAAGUGAAACGCCGUAGCGCCGAUGGUAGUGUGGGGUCUCCCCAUGCGAGAGUAGGGAACUGCCAGGC